Molecule: small RNA, 937 nt
Filed under: Pongo abelii (Sumatran orangutan)
Lineage: Eukaryota; Metazoa; Chordata; Mammalia; Primates; Hominidae
Description: processed transcript
Source: RNAcentral
AGAAAACAAUAGCCUUUUCCACAAAAGGGACAACUGGAUAUCCAUAUGCUCAAGAAUGAAGUUGGACUCAAACUCACACAAAAUAAAAGAAUUCUCUCAAAAUGAAUAAAGAGCCUAAAAAGGCCAGGCGCGGUGUAAUCCCAGCACUUUGGGAGGCCGAGCCAAGUAUCUUCAAGACCUUCUCAUGGAGAGUGUGAAUUUUUCCCCCGCCAAUCUCUCUAGCACUGGUUCCAGGUAUCUGAAUGCUUUGGUUGACAGUGCGGUGGCCCUUGAAACAAAGGAUACCUCGCUAGCUAGUUUUAUCCCUGCAGUGAAUGAUUUGACCUCUGAUCUCUUUCGUACCAAAUCCAAAAGUGAAGAAAUCAAGAUUGAACUGGAAAAACUUGAAAAAAAUCUAACUGCAACUUUAGUAUUAGAAAAAUGUCUACAAGAGGAUGUCAAGAAAGCAGAAUUGCAUCUGUCUACAGAAAGGGCCAAAGUUGAUAAUCGUCGUCAGAACAUGGACUUUCUAAAAGCAAAGUCAGAGGAAUUCAGAUUUGGAAUCAAGGCUGCAGAGGAGCAACUUUCAGCCAGAGGCAUGGAUGCUUCUCUGUCUCAUCAGUCCCUAGUAGCACUAUCAGAGAAACUGGCAAGAUUAAAGCAACAGACUAUACCUUUGAAGAAAAAAUUGGAGUCCUAUUUAGACUUAAUGCCGAAUCCAUCUCUUGCUCAAGUGAAAAUUGAAGAAGCAAAGCGAGAACUAGAUAGCAUUGAAGCUGAACUUACAAGAAGAGUAGACAUGAUGGAACUGUAACAAGAACCAAAUAAACAUCCUUUUCCCUAACAAAGUAAAUCGAAUAGGACUUUACAGAGUUCUUUUUCCUCUUGGCAUUUCCUAAUAACAAAAUUUUCUGUGUUCCUAGAUUACAGAAUAUCAUAAUUGAUAGAAUAUGGUUUC